AUGGGGGGACAACUUUUCAAAAGGAAAGCUAAUACCGCAUACGUCCUACGGGAGAAAGCAGGGGACCUUCGGGCCUUGCGCUAAUAGAUGAGCCUAGGUCGGAUUAGCUAGUUGGUGGGGUAAAGGCUCACCAAGGCGACGAUCCGUAACUGGUCUGAGAGGAUGAUCAGUCACACUGGAACUGAGACACGGUCCAGACUCCUACGGGAGGCAGCAGUGGGGAAUAUUGGACAAUGGGCGAAAGCCUGAUCCAGCCAUGCCGCGUGUGUGAAGAAGGUCUUCGGAUUGUAAAGCACUUUAAGUUGGGAGGAAGGGUUGUACAUUAAUACUCUGCAAUUUUGACGUUACCGACAGAAUAAGCACCGGCUAACUCUGUGCCAGCAGCCGCGGUAAUACAGAGGGUGCAAGCGUUAAUCGGAAUUACUGGGCGUAAACCGCGCGUAGGUGGUUUGUUAAGUUGGAUGUGAAAGCCCCGGGCUCAACCUGGGAACUGCAUCCAAAACUGGCAAGCUAGAGUACGGUAGAGGGUGGUGGAAUUUCCUGUGUAGCGGUGAAAUGCGUAUAUAUA
Molecule: ribosomal RNA, 568 nt
Filed under: Pseudomonas sp. EPS11
Lineage: Bacteria; Pseudomonadati; Pseudomonadota; Gammaproteobacteria; Pseudomonadales; Pseudomonadaceae
Description: bacterial SSU rRNA
Rfam family: Bacterial small subunit ribosomal RNA
Source: RNAcentral